GCCACAUGUACAAAGUAACAAUUAAUAGGGUGGAAACUAGAUAAUCAGGUUCGAUUGAUUUUAGCAUUAUUAAAUGGGUCGAUCUAUAAUUAACAACCAUAUUUUAAAAAAUCAGAUCCGACCCAAUACAUCUAACCCGACCCAAGCCAUAUUAGCUUAUCUUCCCCUAAAUUAUUUCCGACAACUAACCCAGAAUCACCUAUCGAAGUUACAAACAAUGAAAAGAUUGAGACUUUCGGAGAGAGAAAACAGAGUGUGAGAUGGGAAGGAGAACCAUAGAAGAAUAAAACUCACUACAAAUGCAUCUGUAAGACUGUAACUCCAAGGAUGAAACUUGGCUUCAACCCAUAGAGCCAUUAAAAGAGGCUUUUGUGCUUAGCUUAGCAUCUUAAGGAAUGCUAGUAGAAAUUGAGGUGGCAUAGAAAUAGCAAAGCUCAAACGGCAAUGGCACGAUGUGUUACUCAUCGGAGCUUUAUUUUCUUCACCGCGGAGCCGAUAUUGAUUCAUCUUGUUGCGGCUCAGAUUCUGAGGAAGAGGAGGAGACGACUCAAGGGAUAUGGAUUGGUACAGCGUAGCAGCUUAGUCGUCCAUUCCGUCUCAAAUGCAAUUUCUACUAGUAAUCCUUAUUCUCUCUCUCUCCACUAUUGUCUGCAUCUCUUUUCUGGAUUUUGAUCAUAUGGUGUUUUAUUUAUGUUGCAGCUAUCGGACAAUUGCUUUAUCCUCGUGAUUUUCUUUCUAGGUUAGUUGUCUGGGAAAUGAUUUUGGGAAAGACGAGUUAAUAUGGCUGGGUUAGAUGUCUUGGGUCG
RNAcentral lists this long non-coding RNA (806 nucleotides) under Brassica napus (rape). RNAcentral's name for it is "long non-coding RNA (BNAP_LNC002924)". Lineage: Eukaryota; Viridiplantae; Streptophyta; Magnoliopsida; Brassicales; Brassicaceae. The record is from RNAcentral.